This 254-nucleotide ribosomal RNA is filed under the name uncultured bacterium. RNAcentral's name for it is "partial 16S ribosomal RNA". It matches the Rfam family "Bacterial small subunit ribosomal RNA", at positions 524 to 776 of the family's 1533-position model. The record is from RNAcentral.
UACGGAGGGUGCGAGCGUUGUCCGGAAUCACUGGGCGUAAAGGGCGCGUAGGCGGUCGUGACAAGUCACUUGUGAAAUCUCCGGGCUUAACUCGGAACGGUCAAGUGAUACUGUCGGACUAGAGUACAGAAGGGGCAACUGGAAUUCUCGGUGUAGCGGUGAAAUGCGUAGAUAUCGAGAGGAACACCUGCGGCGAAGGCGGGUUGCUGGGCUGAUACUGACGCUGAGGCGCGAAAGCCAGGGGAGCGAACGGG